UGAGUAAAAUUAUUAAUAAUUACUGUGAUUAAUGGUAAGAUGAAGAUGAAAGACAUCCCAAAAGUUAUUCCCUAAACUAUUGAUGACCAUUUAUACAUAGACACACAUUUAAAAUAUCUUCUCACAACAAGAUUCUUGUUCAGUGGGAUUUUAUGGCAUGAAAUGUACUAGUAUCACUAUCCACAAACGUACAGAGAGAAAGGGUUUGAUUGUAGUAUUUUGGAUCUGCCAGAGUGUCAGUGGUACCUACUGCACCCACCUUGUCUUUAGGUAUUAUAGGUUGGUCCAUACUUCAUCUUCAUUUGCGGUGUCUGCAAUUUGCAUAACUAGUAGUAGUAGUAGUACCUGCCUAUAUUACAAUACUGUCAAUUACACACAUCAACAUCUAACCAUAUAAAUAAGCAAAAUGAAUAAUUUAUACCUGAAGUAAAAACUUUGGUAGUUGAUAUUGUAUAAUCAUAA
This 462-nucleotide long non-coding RNA is filed under the name Medicago truncatula (barrel medic). RNAcentral's name for it is "long non-coding RNA (MTRU_LNC003886)". The record is from RNAcentral. Lineage: Eukaryota; Viridiplantae; Streptophyta; Magnoliopsida; Fabales; Fabaceae.